CUGAAAGGUACAAUGUAAAAUCACCUACUAUAAUUGAACUAGAAUAAAAGAUAGACACUUGGAACUAAUUCUUCUAUCUUGUUCAAGUAGCUUCAGGAUUGCACGCUUGAAUCACGUAUAAAUUUCUUGCAAAAUCUCCUUGCUCUUUUGCUCUCUAUUUAACUUUAACUUCUGCUUAUGUGCAUUGCCUAUAAAAGAGAACAACACUGAUAUUUAAUGGGUUAGUAAUUAGAGAUUGACUGGGAUACAGAUGCUACUCUUCUAUCAUAGAAGAGUUCUAGUUGAUCUCAUACUCUAACACUUUCCUCUUCCUAAACUGUGUUCUUUUAGUGUAAAGAGUGUCACACCUCCUUUUUCUACCCCACAAGGGUAUAAGAGAGUUUUUUUCAAUUUAAGUGUCAAUCGAAACGAGAUUAUUUAUUCUUAUUCAGAGUCGCCACUUGGGAUAGUUUAUUGGCGUCCCAAGUCAGGUUUAAAAUCCCGAAUCGAGGAAAGUUUGACUCUGUUUUACAGCCCGCAAACACAGAAAUCCGGGUAAGGAAUUCUAUUAACCCGGAAGAAAGUAUUAGGCAUUCCCGGGCUCCGUGGUUUUAGCACGGUCGCUCAACUGUUAAUAUUGGCCUAUUUAUUUGAUUUUAAAACAACUAAUUCAAUUGUUUUACAACUAAUUAUUAAUUACAUGUUUGCGAAUCAUGUCACGAGAACCAUACCCACGAUCCACAACGUGUUUAUUUUAUUAAAAAAUAAAUUGUGGUCGGGUCACAUAAAUGUACCCCCGGAUUUUUAGAAAUUAGGUGUCACAACCACGUCAUGGGAACAGUACCCUUAGCUAUGACAAUUAAUUAAUUAACGCGUCUAAAGCAAACUACGAAAGUUCAAGACAUUUUUUAUACUAGUCAAGGUAAUUAAUAUGAGGGCCAUAGAUUAUGGAUUUGUUUGCGUAUGGCGCACCUCAAUUAUUUUAAAAGAAAAGAUUUGUAUUUCGUUAAGGCCAACUAAAAUAUUCCUACUUAUAUCUAAUUUUAAAGAAAACUAAGUAUCACAACCAUGUCACGGGAACCGUACCCGCAACUACGAUGAAAUGCCGACCUGAACUGGUUAUAUGAAGAUUAUAGGCAGUGUUACAUUGCAAAACCCAUAGGAAUAAAACUUGAAGGCUUGGUUGGUUUUUACUUAUUCCUUCAAAUUACUUACACAGUUUCACUAUCCUAGUAAUAUGACCAUUAUAACUAAUGCAAGUCAAAUAUGUUGAAUUUCCUAUGAAAGCUCACGAGAUGAAAGACCUUUAUUAUGCAAAUCAUACCAAAUAGCCUCCUUACAUGGAAAAAUUCUGGACAUUAAUUUAGUUCAUGACCAAAGUAUCAGUAAUCUUUCUCCCUCAAACAAUUUAUCACAAAACUAUGGCCACUAUACAUAUAUUAUGCUUAAACAGUUAAAAGAAUAAAACCUUAGGAAUAAACUUCAAUGUAUUCCUAGUUUUAUUAAUGAAAUCACGCACACAACAAAAGCAAACAUUCGUAUUGCCACUCUCAUGUAAUUAACGAAUCCGCCCGCAAAAUUCGAGCAAAUUUCUCCAAAACAAAUAGGCACAAAAUAUUACUAUAAAAUUCAUACUCAACAAAGUUAACAAGAUAUAUACAAUUUAAUGAAAUGUGACUAAAUCACGGCCAUAAACAUCAUUGAUACUAACAAAAAGGGAACGGACCUUUGAACAAAUUGAAAUUCAACCUCAAAUCAGAAACAAAGAGCAACGAUUUCAAAUCGAACCUCGACGGCGCCGGAAAACUCUAGUUUUUAUGCUCAACGCUUCUGCUUGAUUUUCUCCCACUUCGGAUUAGCAGCAGAUGUGAGCGAAAGAAAUGGGGACAGUGAGUGUGUGUGGGUUUGUUUGCCGGGUCUACUGCUAGCGACGUCGCUGGUCAAAGGGGUCGGAUUCUGGCGGCGGCUGGUGGCUGGUUUAGUGGGAUACAAGUAACGGCUCACAUGGAGAUUAAUGGAGGUAAGGGAGUGGCGGUUGGUAUUGUUGGUCGACCAAAUCUGAUGGAUGUAACGGCCAGGGUCCUUGGUUAGCGAGGUGAAAAAUAAGAACGGAGGGGGGGGG
This 2101-nucleotide long non-coding RNA is filed under the name Nicotiana tabacum (common tobacco). RNAcentral describes it as "long non-coding RNA (NTAB_LNC005307)". Lineage: Eukaryota; Viridiplantae; Streptophyta; Magnoliopsida; Solanales; Solanaceae. The record is from RNAcentral.